ACUACCGAUUGAAUGGUUUAGUGAGGCCUUCUGACUGGCGCCGAUGCUCUGGCAACAGAGCGCCGGAUGCCGGAAAGUUGGUCAAACUUGAUCAUUUAGAGGAAGUAAAAGUCGUAACAAGGUUUCCGUAGGUGAACCUGCGGAAGGAUCAUUACCGAUGUAAUCCAAAAGCACGACUCCGUCGUGACUACCGUGUGAACCGUACCAAACUAUUCAGGGGUCGGCAAGUCCGUUAAAUGGCGGUCGGACGCCUGCGUUGCGCGCGCGGCCGCUCCGCCAGCCCCGCCUGUGUUUUUUAACAUACGUGUCUUGUCUGAAAACGUGACCACUGCCGUGGUCCAGAGCAAAGAAAAAAGAGAGACAACUUUUGACGGUGGAUCUCUUGGCUCACGCAUCGAUGAAGAACGCAGCCAGCUGCGAUAAGUAGUGUGAAUUGCAGAAUUCAGUGAAUCAUCGAAUCUUUGAACGCAAAUGGCGCUCUUGGGUUCUCCCAGGAGCAUGUCUGUCUGAGUGUCGGAUAUCAUCCAACGCACUUAGUCGUGCGGCGUUGAGGCGUCACGGCCCUCAUGCUGCCGUGUCCCUUGAAAGUCAGAGAGACUCGCGCGGCACGGGUUCGUUCCCUGCACACUCGCGGAGGCUAAAAACGCUUUUGCCCUUCGCGUGCACGGGACGACCCGUCCGCGAGUCGCGGAGGCGAACACUUUUUAAACUCUUGACCUCAGAUCAGACAAGGCUACCCGCUGAAUUUAAGCAUAUUAAUAAGCGGAGGAAAAGAAACUAACAAGGAUUCCCCCAGUAACGGCGAGUGAAGCGGGAUGAGCUCAAAUUUGAAAUCUCCGGUGCUUGCACCGGCGAGUUGUAGUUGCGAGAAGCACUUUCUCGGCGGAUCGGCGGCGCCUAAGUUGCUUGGAACAGCAUGUCGCAGAGGGUGACAACCCCGUCUGUGGCGCGGCCGGCCGCUUACGAUACUGGCGAUUGCCAUUUGGUCAGUGCGGCGUUGAGGCGUCACGGCCUGCUUGAAAUGUUGGCCGUGUCCCUUGAAGGUCAGUGAGACUCGCCGUGGCAUGGGUCAUCUCCCUGCACACUCGCGGAGGCUAAAAACGCUUUUGCCCUUCGCGUGCUCGGAGCGGCCUGGCCGGCGGGACGCGUAGGCGAACGAUUAUCAACUCUUGACCUCAGAUCAGGCAAGGCUACCCGCUGAAUUUAAGCAUAUUAAUAAGCGGAGGAAAAGAAACUAACAAGGAUUCCCCCAGUAACGGCGAGUGAAGCGGGAACAGCUCAAAUUUGAAAUCUCCGGUGCUUGCACCGGCGAGUUGUAGUUGCGAGAAGCACUUUCUAGGUGGAUCGGUCGUGCCUAAGUUGCUUGGAACAGCAUGUCGCAGAGGGUGACAACCCCGUCUGUGGCGCGACCGGCCGCUGACGAUGUGCUUUCGAA
This 1435-nucleotide ribosomal RNA is filed under the name Solenastrea bournoni. RNAcentral's name for it is "eukaryotic LSU rRNA". The stretch from base 1171 to 1435 matches the Rfam family "Eukaryotic large subunit ribosomal RNA", at positions 1 to 261 of the family's 3401-position model. The record is from RNAcentral. Lineage: Eukaryota; Metazoa; Cnidaria; Anthozoa; Scleractinia.